GAUGAACGCUAGCUACAGGCUUAACACAUGCAAGUCGCGGGGCAGCAUGGGGGUUGCUUGCAAUCCCCGAUGGCGACCGGCGCACGGGUGAGUAACGCGUAUCCAACCUGCCCUUCACCACGGGAUAACCCGGCGAAAGUCGGACUAAUACCGUAUGUUGUCCAUUGACGGCAUCCGAUUUGGACGAAAGGUUUGGCGGUGAAGGAUGGGGAUGCGUCCGAUUAGCUGGACGGCGGGGUGACGGCCCACCGUGGCGACGAUCGGUAGGGGUUCUGAGAGGAAGGUUCCCCACACUGGAACUGAGACACGGUCCAGACUCCUACGGGAGGCAGCAGUGAGGAAUAUUGGUCAAUGGGCGUAAGCCUGAACCAGCCAAGUAGCGUGCAGGAUGACGGCCCUAUGGGUUGUAAACUGCUUUUAUGCGGGGAUAAAGUGGCCCACGUGUGGGUUUUUGCAGGUACCGCAUGAAUAAGGACCGGCUAAUUCCGUG
This 490-nucleotide ribosomal RNA is filed under the name uncultured bacterium. Its description in RNAcentral is "partial 16S ribosomal RNA". It matches the Rfam family "Bacterial small subunit ribosomal RNA", at positions 28 to 507 of the family's 1533-position model. The record is from RNAcentral.